RNAcentral lists this ribosomal RNA (433 nucleotides) under uncultured bacterium. RNAcentral's name for it is "partial 16S ribosomal RNA". It matches the Rfam family "Bacterial small subunit ribosomal RNA", at positions 29 to 507 of the family's 1533-position model. The record is from RNAcentral.
AGCGAACGCUGGCGGCAGGCCUAACACAUGCAAGUCGAACAAACUCUUCGGAGUUAGUGGCGGACGGGUGAGUAACACGUGGGAACGUGCCUUUAGGUUCGGAAUAACUCAGGGAAACUUGUGCUAAUACCGAAUGUGCCCUUCGGGGGAAAGAUUUAUCGCCUUUAGAGCGGCCCGCGUCUGAUUAGCUAGUUGGUGAGGUAAAGGCUCACCAAGGCGACGAUCAGUAGCUGGUCUGAGAGGAUGAUCAGCCACAUUGGGACUGAGACACGGCCCAAACUCCUACGGGAGGCAGCAGUGGGGAAUCUUGCGCAAUGGGCGAAAGCCUGACGCAGCCAUGCCGCGUGAAUGAUGAAGGUCUUAGGAUUGUAAAAUUCUUUCACCGGGGACGAUAAUGACGGUACCCGGAGAAGAAGCCCCGGCUAACUUCGUG